This 274-nucleotide ribosomal RNA is filed under the name uncultured bacterium. Its description in RNAcentral is "partial 16S ribosomal RNA". It matches the Rfam family "Bacterial small subunit ribosomal RNA", at positions 523 to 796 of the family's 1533-position model. The record is from RNAcentral.
AUACGUAGGGUGCAAGCGUUAAGCGGAAUUACUGGGCGUAAAGCGUGCGCAGGCGGUUAUGUAAGACAGAUGUGAAAUCCCCGGGCUCAACCUGGGAACUGCAUUUGUGACUGCAUGGCUAGAGUACGGUAGAGGGGGAUGGAAUUCCGCGUGUAGCAGUGAAAUGCGUAGAUAUGCGGAGGAACACCGAUGGCGAAGGCAAUCCCCUGGACCUGUACUGACGCUCAUGCACGAAAGCGUGGGGAGCAAACAGGAUUAGAAACCCUAGUAGUCC